GUUGCCAACUUAGCCCAUGACGGGGGAGCC
Molecule: non-coding RNA, 30 nt
Filed under: Actinoplanes sp. SE50/110
Lineage: Bacteria; Bacillati; Actinomycetota; Actinomycetes; Micromonosporales; Micromonosporaceae
Source: RNAcentral